UACGGGAGGCAGCAGUCGGGAAUAUUGCGCAAUGGAGGAAACUCUGACGCAGUGACGCCGCGUAUAGGAAGAAGGUUUUCGGAUUGUAAACUAUUUUAGACAGGGAAGAUAAAAGACGGUACCUGUAGAAUAAGCUCCGGCUAACUACGUGCCAGCAGCCGCGGUAAU
This 168-nucleotide ribosomal RNA is filed under the name uncultured rumen bacterium. Its description in RNAcentral is "partial 16S ribosomal RNA". It matches the Rfam family "Bacterial small subunit ribosomal RNA", at positions 340 to 524 of the family's 1533-position model. The record is from RNAcentral.